CAAGAUUCUGCUCUAUUCUUGAUAAGUUUCAGAACUUGUUGUGAUUUGAUAUGAGGUUAGUUGCCAAUUUUCUUUUGUGCUCAGUACCGAAAUGUGCUCGAGUUUGUAUUUACUACGUUACCCAUAAUGUGAGAAAAUUUUCAUGGGAAAUUUAAGAAUAGUUGUGCCACUGCUAAAUAUUUGUAGCAGUAGCAAGCUGAGCCAGAGGGCAAGCUUGCUUCUUCACUUGAGGUCCUCGUAUGUUUUUGUUAGAAUUGCAUGUCUGAAAUUCACAUUUUUUGUAUUUUUGUGGUAAAACUUGCAAGCAACUUCUGGCAUGCGCCAUCUAAUGAAUAUUGCCUUCUAUAGUUCAGUGAGGUGAAGUACAAUACCAAAGUUGGUUGCUUCUUAUACUGAUUGCAUCAAUAGAAGUGCAGCAGCCCACAACUAAAUGAUGGAUUUAUUCAUACUGAUGCUAAGUAGGCAAAGUAUGCGAUUUCCAGUCAAAUACUUUGCUCAUGUACUAAUAUGAUUUUAAGUACCAGUAUGGAUGAAAAUAGGCUCGCACUUUUUAGGUUUUGUAUAUAUAUAAUUUUAAUAGAUUCGCAUCCUACAUGUGGUACUUAUUCAGUUUGUCCUAUCUUAUUCUUCAAAGUGAAUUUGCUGUUUGAACAUCCCCUUGGAUGUUUCUCGAUACUUCCGUGCCUCUGUGAUUUUAGAUACUCCCUCCAAUCCCUGCGCAGCUGCCAGACAACAUACCUUGUUGCCGACGCCCAACAAGGUAUCUUCCAAAAUCUCAAUCUGUGUGUGCUUGCUUGCUGCUGCGCCUGCUUCCUUUGCAGCGAGGCUUCUUGCUUGAUGGUUUGCUCUGAUGGUGUUGAUUUUGUCCUGCCGGGUUGAUGAUUGAUGGCGCGGGAGCAGGAGAAGAUGAUGAGGGUGAUGCGCCGCCCUCAUGUCGAUGGUCAGCCAUACGACUGAUCCUAGGAUUUCCUCUCUCGGUGAACUUUCAAGGCCCUUACUUCAUGCACGGUCACAAUAGGAAAUCAGAGUUAUCAUUGGUGCAGCUUGUGAUGGACCAGCUUUGAGGAAUUGGUAUGCCUGAACUAUGGAUUGCCUCAAUGGAACACUGAACUAUGGAUUAUUCAUGUUGCGGUUAGUAGGCUUAGUAGGCCUAUGAAUGUAUUACGCUGCAAUUAGGACUGUUCUGGAUGCACUAAUUUAGCAAAUUAUUUUACCUAAAAAAUUAAAUGGAUAGUGGAUUAAUGCAGGAACUAUUGCAUGGAUGUGAUCUAAAACUAGAAAUCCAUGUACUCACUUAUUUUCCAUUUUUUGACAUUGCACUAAUUUGGUAUCAUGAAUAUGAAGUGGACACAACAAGUGGAAGAUUUACAAUUCACAGGGGGCAGGUAAACCAUGGGCGGAAUCUUUAUCUGUGCACUUAUCAGCCAAAGGGCUACUGUCAUUUUGCCUUAAUUGAAGACCUACACGUCAUGUUGUCUGUCCUCCGGAAACCAUAAUGCUUAAUUAGAUCCGAAGUUGACUUCAUAUAUUUUUAGUUAGUGAUAUUUGUACUGCUUUCCCGGUCCAGAUAGAUGAAGAGAAAUUUGUACUUUCUGUCUAAAGAUUCAAACAUGGGGAACACAGUUAAUAUCUCAUGCAUUAUGCCUAAUCAUAUGUAGGCCAAGAUAUAGCAGAGGUGUCAGAAAGUUCAGGUGAGAUCCAAAUACUCCAUAACCUAUGAUUUCCUAGCUAUUGGUGCAUUAUUCAUGAUUAUUGAAUUAACAUAGCACACCUUUCUUAAAUUAAAUGGUAAGAAAAGUCACAGGACUACGAUGUAAUUAGGCAGCAAAACUGAAAUCUGCUACCUGAUGCUCUGCUUGGGUAUAGGAUUCAGUUUUUCAUUGCGGAAAUCUUCCAAGUUGACACUUAUGAGUUGUGGUCUGUAGACUUUCUGCUUAAUGUAUCUUCACCAUAAUAUCUAUACAAUUAGCAUGCUACAUUUUAUAUUAACUUUGUGACCAAUGCUGCCAAUCUUUGCCGGCCAUUCUUAUACUUGGUGAUGUGCUUAGCUUAGCUAAUUAGAUACUUAUCAGAUAUUAUUUCAAGAAUGACUAUGAAACUUUUAGCAUAUACUUCUAUUUUUUUGUUACAGGUAUAAUAUAUGUCCAAGAGAUAAGUUGGUGCUGGGAGUCACUGUUGCAGUAUAUGGAAAAAAAUGAUCUUACUUUACUCCAUGAUCAUCUGAAUAUGUACAACAUAUAUAAUCGUCAUCAGUUGCAGUUGUUUAGAGUAUUCAUGAGCACCAGGGAGCAGAAGGAGUUGGGGAGGAAGGAGGAGUCCACAGCCAUCCAUCAGCGGUGGCAGUGCAGGGUCGAGUUGGAGGCAAACACAUCAAGAAGCAUGUAAUAAGGUGACAGUCGCUGGGCCAUUACCACAAGAACUUGAGUUUGAGACCCUAAAGCAAACUAGGUUUAAGCCAUGGCAUUACAUCAUUCUAUUGGAGAAGUCCUGGUCUACUUCCUUCGACCAAGCAGUGUAUAGGUGUAAAAGACUAUUGAUAGGAGGACAAUAGGAGAACAAGAGAUGCGCAUUACCUCCCCGGCCUCUUCUUCGGCAAGGAUCCGCAGGUAGCGGCUUUUGAAGAGAACAACAGUCUUUGGACUGAGCUAACAUACGCAUGAGUCAAAGGAUUCAGUUCAUGCCUCUUAGUGUUGUUGUUUCAUUUAUGCUAGCUUCAUUAACAUGCAGCUAGAACAACAACAGAGACACAAGCAUGAUGAAGACACUCGAGAGACCUGCAAUAACUCUCUUAUGUCUCCUCCGGCGCCCCAAACAUGCAGCUAGAACAACAACGGAGACACAAGCAUGAUGAAGACACUCGAGAGACCUGCAAUAAGUGUGCGAACCUUGGUGGAGACGAGAUAAUGGUAGUAUGAUUCAGAUUUGAGGAAACACCGUGUGACUUGCUUCUCUUCAGUAGAUGUUUACGCAUGAUAUUCUUUGUGAAAACUUGAUUUUUUUUAUGCUGUGUAUGAUUAGUGAAAGGUAAUUCUCAUAG
Lolium rigidum is the source of this 3037-nucleotide long non-coding RNA. RefSeq lists it as uncharacterized. The record is from RefSeq and is a predicted model, not a curated record. Lineage: Eukaryota; Viridiplantae; Streptophyta; Magnoliopsida; Poales; Poaceae. The transcript is spliced from 7 exons.